This 497-nucleotide long non-coding RNA is filed under the name Mytilus galloprovincialis (Mediterranean mussel). Lineage: Eukaryota; Metazoa; Mollusca; Bivalvia; Mytilida; Mytilidae. The record is from RNAcentral.
AAUAAUAUUGUAACCGGAGAGCACGAAUUUCAUUACAAAAUUGCUUGUCUCCACCGGGACUCGAACCCGGGACCUCUGUGUUACAAGGCAGCGCGCUAACCGACUGAGCUAAAGAAGUACUUCCUUAGCUCAACCGCUUACGGCUGACUAAGUAUCUACUAAGUUUUCUAAGGGAAGCAAUCCCGUCACACUUCCCCCACCUCAAGAGUCAUUAUACUCUAUAAUGAUGAUAUUUUCAUCUUUUUUAUAUUUAUAUUUUAACCUGGCUAGGUAAUUCUUCUAACCGUGGGUUGUUAUUGUUGGGCGCCAAUGUAACCGGAGAGCACGAAUUUCAUUACAAAAUUGCUUGUCUCCACCGGGACACGAACCCGGGACCUCUGUGUUACAAGGCAGCGCGCUAACCGACUGAGCUAAAGAAGUACUUCCUUAGCUCAACCGCUUACGGCUGACUAAGUAUCUACUAAGUUUUUCUAAGGGAAGCAAUCCCGUCACAAUAU